GGCCUCCUGGUGCUGACCACGGGCUGUGUUCUUCCACUGACUGCUAAAAAGUAGACCUCAGCCCAGGCCCUGUGCCUGGUCUGUACUAUGAAUGGGGAGACAUGG
Molecule: small nucleolar RNA, 105 nt
Filed under: Castor canadensis (American beaver)
Lineage: Eukaryota; Metazoa; Chordata; Mammalia; Rodentia; Castoridae
Description: Small nucleolar RNA SNORA51 (ENSCCNG00000020276.1)
Rfam family: Small nucleolar RNA SNORA51
About the family: ACA51 is a member of the H/ACA class of snoRNA that guide the sites of modification of uridines to pseudouridines.
Source: Rfam by way of RNAcentral